GGGGACUAUAUAAGAAUCAAUGAAGCUGUCACUAUCACGAACCACCCCACGAUCUGGCAUAUUAGGUGCAAUCGCAGAUAAAUACGGUAUAAGCACCACGCCUACACAAUAUCUAUCAUUUACCCAUGGAUCCGAUGGAUAAACGCUAUACGAUCCUAAGCAUGUAUAUAGAUCCAAUCUAACUAAGCCAAGUACAUAACUAUGAUAAACUAAGAACAAUAUAAUCUUGAAUAUAAGCAAGUAGAGCAAAGUCAUAAGCAAUAUAUUGAAGUAGAACAAAGUCAUAUUCAUAAUAUUGAAGAACAAAGAUAAUUAGAAAGUAAUUAGAAGCACAAUUAGAGAAUUACCAAUAAUCCUCUUGAC
Molecule: long non-coding RNA, 363 nt
Filed under: Sorghum bicolor (sorghum)
Lineage: Eukaryota; Viridiplantae; Streptophyta; Magnoliopsida; Poales; Poaceae
Description: long non-coding RNA (SBIC_LNC013610)
Source: RNAcentral